Molecule: long non-coding RNA, 574 nt
Organism: Ictalurus punctatus (channel catfish)
Lineage: Eukaryota; Metazoa; Chordata; Actinopteri; Siluriformes; Ictaluridae
Source: Ensembl
CACAGACUCACCCAAACUGGACAGCUGAAGACUGGAAAAAGACCAGAAAACAUGAGGGAACGCCUGCUUAUAGCUGCUAUAAUAAUACUGUUUCCAUUUCAAUGGCAUAAAACCCACCUACAAAGCUGUACAAGUGAAAUUCAGAGAUGAAGGAGGUAGUGUUAUGUGUAACGGAACAACUUUCUCAGUCAUCUGAUCCAUACCGAAUAGAGUUGCUGUUGAAGGAGUCAAUCUGAAAGGUUGCAUCUCAAGAAAAGUAUCUUGCCAGCUCCACAAAUCUCUGAAACAGCCUGCAAGAAGCAUCUCUGAUGAUCUCUGAGGAAAACCUCAGAAAAGGAACUGUUUACAACAAUAAUGUGUGCAGCAGUUAUAUCUCCAUCCAAGCCCACCAAGACAAAAAUCCAAUAACAUUAAUGUAUUUCCAAGUCCUUAUAUGCUCUAAUGAUGAACAGAGUAUUGCUAUGUUGCCAGAGAAAUGCAUUAACAUGCAAGCAGCUUAGGUUACAAAUACAGAUGUAUGUCAAAGUUUGGGCCCCACUGCACAAAUGACAUAUCUUGUUGAUUUUUGAAGUGA